GAUGAAGAACGUAGCAAAAUGCGAUUCUUGGUGUGAAUUGCAGAAUCCCGUGAACCAUCGAGUUUUUGAACGCAAGUUGCGCCCGAAGCCUUUUGGCCGAGGGCACGUCUGCCUGGGCGUCACGCAUCGCGUCGCCCCCCACAAUUCUCCGUAAAGGGAACAUGUGUUUUGGGGGCGGAUAUUGGUCUCCCGUGCUCAUGGCGUGGUUGGCCGAAAUAGGAGUCCUUUCGAUGGACGCACGAACUAGUGGUGGUCGUAAAAACCCUCGUCUUUUGUUUCGUGCUGUUGCUCGCAAGGUAAACUCUUUAAAAACCCCAAUGUGUCGUCUCUUGACGACGCUUCGACCGCGACCCCAGGUCAGGCGGGACUACCCGCUGAGUUUAAGCAUAUCAAUAAGCGGAGGA
RNAcentral lists this unclassified non-coding RNA (404 nucleotides) under soil metagenome. RNAcentral describes it as "partial contains 5.8S ribosomal RNA, internal transcribed spacer 2, and large subunit ribosomal RNA". The stretch from base 1 to 122 matches the Rfam family "5.8S ribosomal RNA", at positions 35 to 154 of the family's 154-position model. The record is from RNAcentral.